Molecule: ribosomal RNA, 378 nt
Filed under: uncultured Anaplasma sp.
Lineage: Bacteria; Pseudomonadati; Pseudomonadota; Alphaproteobacteria; Rickettsiales; Anaplasmataceae
Description: bacterial SSU rRNA
Rfam family: Bacterial small subunit ribosomal RNA
Source: RNAcentral
UGAUAACAAUUAGUGGCAGACGGGUGAGUAAUGCAUAGGAAUCUACCUAGUAGUAUGGGAUAGCCACUAGAAAUGGUGGGUAAUACUGUAUAAUCCCUGCGGGGGAAAGAUUUAUCGCUAUUAGAUGAGCCUAUGUUAGAUUAGCUAGUUGGUAGGGUAAAGGCCUACCAAGGCAAUGAUCUAUAGCUGGUCUGAGAGGAUGAUCAGCCACACUGGAACUGAGAUACGGUCCAGACUCCUACGGGAGGCAGCAGUGGGGAAUAUUGGACAAUGGGCGCAAGCCUGAUCCAGCUAUGCCGCGUGAGUGAGGAAGGCCUUAGGGUUGUAAAACUCUUUCAGUGGGGAAGAUAAUGACGGUACCCACAGAAAAAGUCCCGG